Molecule: long non-coding RNA, 214 nt
Filed under: Oryza brachyantha (malo sina)
Lineage: Eukaryota; Viridiplantae; Streptophyta; Magnoliopsida; Poales; Poaceae
Description: long non-coding RNA (OBRA_LNC003177)
Source: RNAcentral
GAAGGAGUCGUGCCCUCGCAAGGGCGCGCGCGACUUCGUCUCGAGAACGACGGAGACGCAGUCAGGGGCAUGCGCUAUGCAGCGUCAUCGCCCCGGCGUAUGGUCUCGGCGCCCACGCCACCUCCGUUGCCGUCCCCAUGCUCCGCCUACAAUACCACCGCAUCCGAGCUCCGACGCCCAUGCUCCGACGCCGCCGUUGUCGCUAGGGCCCACC